Molecule: ribosomal RNA, 440 nt
Filed under: uncultured bacterium
Lineage: Bacteria
Description: partial 16S ribosomal RNA
Rfam family: Bacterial small subunit ribosomal RNA
Source: RNAcentral
CCUACGGGCGGCAGCAGUAGGGAAUCUUUCUCAAUGGGGGAAACCCUGAAGCAGCAACGCCGCGUGGAGGAUGAAGGUUUUAGGAUUGUAAACUCCUUGUGUUGGGGGAGAUUAUGACGGUGUCUAACGCAUAAGCACAGGCUAACUCCGUCCCAGCAGCCGCGGUAAUACGGAGGGUGCAAGCGUGACUCGGAAUCACUGGGCGUAAAGAGUGAGUAGGCGGGGUAAUAAGUCAGAUGUGAAAUCCUGUAGCUUAACUACAGAACUGCAUUUGAAACUGUUACUCUGGAGUGUGGGAGAGGUAGGUGGAAUGCUUGGUGUAGGAGUAAAAUGCGUAGAGAUCAAGAGGAAGACUCAUGGCGAAGGCGAGUUGCUGGAACAUUACUGACGCUGAUGCACGAAGGCGAGGGGAGCAAAAGGGAUUAGAUACCCUGGUAGUC